Molecule: transfer RNA, 73 nt
Filed under: Aeoliscus strigatus (razorfish)
Lineage: Eukaryota; Metazoa; Chordata; Actinopteri; Syngnathiformes; Centriscidae
Description: tRNA-Pro
Source: RNAcentral
UAAUACAUAUAUGUCCUGAUACAUUAUUAUAUAUGGUUAAUAUAUAUAUAUGGGGAAUAUCCAUAUAUGUAAU